Molecule: ribosomal RNA, 253 nt
Filed under: uncultured bacterium
Lineage: Bacteria
Description: partial 16S ribosomal RNA
Rfam family: Bacterial small subunit ribosomal RNA
Source: RNAcentral
UACGGAGGGGGCUAGCGUUGCUCGGAAUCACUGGGCGUAAAGGGUGCGCAGGCGGCAGAGCAAGUCGAGUGUGAAAGCCCCGGGCUUAACUUGGGAAUUGCGCUCGAAACUACUUUGCUGGAGUGUGGCAGAGGAAGGUGGAAUUCCACGUGUAGCGGUGAAAUGCGUAGAGAUGUGGAGGAACACCAAUGGCGAAGGCAGCCUUCUGGGCCAACACUGACGCUCAUGCACGAAAGCGUGGGGAGCAAACAGG